UUUAUAUCAAAUUAACUUAAAAAGACUCAUUUCGUGAGAACACCUCUCUCUUAUUUUAGUAUAAUGAAAAUUGUGUCACUCUAAAUAAUAUGUGUCAUUAUAACCCAAAAUAAAAAGUCUCGACGUAUUGAUGAUUAUAGAUCUUCUCAUUAUUUACUUGUUUAAUAAUUUCAUCAUGAUAUCACGAGACCAAUGUUUUGUUCUUUUUUUGUUUGUUUUUUAAAUUUUUUUAUAAGCAAUAUUUUGGUGGGAGAUUAUAACACAUACAUCAGGUACAUGAGUAACUACUCUUAUAUCUACUUGAGCUAUAAUAUAAUAAUCGUAUUUCGUUUUAGUAUGAUUCUUUUUAUUCAGAAAGUAACCCCGAGUAUCUAAUGGGUUGUUUUGCUUUUAAUUGUCACGAUCUUCAUAUUAAUUUGUGAAUGAAGAAUAAGUUAUGCUCUUUAAAAAAUAAAAACGAGCCUAGAUUUUAAGGGUUUAGGGUUCUUUACGUCCUUUGAUUUUAGUUGUUUAAUUAAUAUUAGGUGCUUUAUCGGCUUGUGGUUGUCGUAAUGAGGACGUCCUGGUCAUUGUCACGCACUGCAAAUGUCUUCAUUAUAAUGGACA
RNAcentral lists this long non-coding RNA (606 nucleotides) under Prunus persica (peach). RNAcentral describes it as "long non-coding RNA (PPER_LNC007156)". Lineage: Eukaryota; Viridiplantae; Streptophyta; Magnoliopsida; Rosales; Rosaceae. The record is from RNAcentral.